RNAcentral lists this transfer RNA (83 nucleotides) under Schistocephalus solidus. It matches the Rfam family "tRNA". Rfam says of the family: Transfer RNA (tRNA) molecules are approximately 80 nucleotides in length. Their secondary structure includes four short double-helical elements and three loops (D, anti-codon, and T loops). Lineage: Eukaryota; Metazoa; Platyhelminthes; Cestoda; Diphyllobothriidea; Diphyllobothriidae. The record is from Rfam by way of RNAcentral.
GGUCUCGUAGCUUAGUUGGCUAGAGCAUUGACUGUCCGAAAGCCUUCCCCUUGCUGGCAUGGGUUCAAAUCCCACCGAGGCCG